This is a small nuclear RNA of Vombatus ursinus (common wombat), 105 nucleotides long. The record is from Ensembl. Lineage: Eukaryota; Metazoa; Chordata; Mammalia; Diprotodontia; Vombatidae.
GCUCACUUCAGAUGCACAAAUACUAAAAUUGGAAUGAUACAGAGAAGAUUAGCAUGGCCCCUGUGCAAAGAUGCCAUGCAAAUUUGUGAAGCAUUCAAUUUUUUU